AAAACCCCAUGCCAUCGAGACGACGGCGGGCAUACGACCGACAAGCACGAUUCGCGACCGAGGCCACAAUGAUGGCGACCAACAAGACCACGACCCCCGCACCAAUCGCGGUGGGAUUUCUUGUAUGGCGUGUAUAGCGACGAUCGCGGUCGAGUCAGCGUGUCUGAUGCUGCCGUCCGCUUGGACGGACGGGUACCUUUUGGUCGCAUCCGCUGCGGUUUUUGUUUCCUUUGGACGCUUGCGCGCGUCACGCCUUUGCAGCCACACACGACCCCAAAAAAAGAGAAAAAAGAAACCCAAAAAAAU
RNAcentral lists this long non-coding RNA (306 nucleotides) under Pandoravirus salinus. RNAcentral's name for it is "putative ncRNA". The record is from RNAcentral.